This 1696-nucleotide unclassified non-coding RNA is filed under the name Leishmania donovani. RNAcentral's name for it is "gene:LdHU3.28.1180(CDS-product:hypothetical_prote in_conserved)". Lineage: Eukaryota; Euglenozoa; Kinetoplastea; Trypanosomatida; Trypanosomatidae. The record is from RNAcentral.
CGACGUGGAGCUCUGCCCAUUACACACACACACACACAUAUAUAUAGACAUAUUAUGAGAAAGACAGCCUCGCUGAGCUCACCUCAGAACGACGACAAACCGUUGUGCAGUGGCGCUACUUCUUCCGUCUUCACCUCACCACCUAGACGCAGAUGGUUGCGGCUGCUCAUUUUUUCCAGCCUCCUCUGCUCGUUCCGUGGCUUUACUCAGAUAAUAUAGGCUCAUUCAUCGAAGCUGCCGCUGCUUCUACCAUUCCCCUUUUUUGUUCCCCCUCCCCACCGCUGGAUCGCUCUGCUUUCCUUCGCUGUAUAUGCGUGAGGGUGAAUGUAUGCGACCCUGCUCGUUUUUUUUUCGUGUACUUUCAGCCUUGUAGUUGUCCAUCACGCGGUGAUCAUGAGGCGUCGCUCGCACUCCAAGCCCGCCGAGGCUGCGGCCGUCGUGCCUCCCACAAAGACCGUUGCCCAGCUGCGGACGGAAGUCGAUCUGCUUGAGAACGCUAUCAAAGAUCGAAAGCUCUUGUUCCUGGACCUAUGUGAGCAGAGGGGUGCGUCGGCGGCCGCGGACGAAGACGCUACUCGGGUGACGCCCCCCGAAGAUCCUGUGGAAGAGGCGCGCCGGCUCGCCAGCCGCAACGCGUUCCUGCGCGAUGAGCUCAAAGUUUUGGACGCAGUAGAGAGGCAGUACGCGAAUGACCCGCGCGUGCGUGACAAGCGCAACGAAGUGCGACUGGUGCAGAUGCAGAUCGCACAGGUAGAGCGCGAGGUCGAUACGCUGCAGAAGGUGAAGAAGUGGCGCGACGAGGGUCUGCGCGCGAUCGGGCGCACAGAGGAGCAGACUCGACGCAUGCGCGGGCAGCAGCACGAGAUGAACUCGCAGUUGAGGGAGGAGGUGCGGCAGCGAAUGGAGGAGCUGCGGGAACUAGAAAAGGCGGACAUGGAGGUGCAUACGCGGUUCGCGAGGCUGCAAGAUCAGGUGAAGCUGUCCGUGACAGAUGCCGAUGUGCAACAGCUUCGACAAACGCUGGAGGCGCAGAACACGGAGAUCGAAAAUCUUUCUGGCAAGGAGGCGGCGUGGCGGAAGCAACGCGCAUCGGUGCGCGAGGAGGACUACCGCAUUGUUGCGAAGUACAACGGCGAAUGCGCGAAGCUCGCCGAGGAAGAAGAGCGCCUCCAUGAGCUGCUGCGUCAAAAAGAAUUAGAGCUGAAGCGAAGCUAUUUUUUGUUGAAGCGCUAUGGAACCGCGCCCCGCGCGCCGAUGAGCGGCGGAGGUAAUGAUGAAGUGGGGGACUUGCUGCCCUCCCCCUAGGCUCGCCGAUGUGCGAAGGCGAGCACCGUCAACCGUUGUCUGGGUUGACUGCCCGGUGACACUAUGCAUUGUAACCCCACCCCCUCGACCCCCAAGCGCCUUGGCUCUGUGUAGGAGUGCUUUUUCCUCUCCCCUUGUUUCCGUCGUUUUCGCUUUCUUUGGUGGUGGGGCGACACACACGCUGCGGGUGUCUCCGCCGCUUUUUGUCUGAGUAUUUAUGUGCGUAGGUGUUACGCAUGUUAUGGUGCCCGCUCUCCGCUUGGAAUCCGUCUUGCUCACCAGAGCAUCUGGAACGCGCUGCGAAACGAAAAGAAGAAGGCGCGACCGCGUGGACCUGCUUAGUCAGCGGCUUCUUCUCCCCUUCAUUGUCUCGGGUUGUCCAGAGAGAGAG